Molecule: non-coding RNA, 79 nt
Organism: Podarcis lilfordi (Lilford's wall lizard)
Lineage: Eukaryota; Metazoa; Chordata; Lepidosauria; Squamata; Lacertidae
Source: the annotation of a GenBank genome assembly
GCAUAAGGCGGGACAGCACAGUUGGUAGAGUGUAAGACUCUUAAUCUCAGGUUCGUGGGUUCGAGUCCCGCAUUGUGCA